GAUGAACGCUGGCGGCGUGCUUAACACAUGCAAGUCGAACGAGAAGUGAAGACGGAAACCUUCGGGCGGAAGGCUUUAUUUCGAGUGGCGGACGGGUGAGUAACGCGUGGGUAACCUGCCUCAUACAGGGGGAUAACAGUUGGAAACGACUGUUAAUACCGCAUAAGACCACAGCACCGCAUGGUGCGGGGGUAAAAACUCCGGUGGUAUGAGAUGGACCCGCGUUCGAUUAGCCAGUUGGCGGGGUAACGGCCCACCAAAGCGACGAUCGAUAGCCGAUCUGAGAGGAUGACCGGCCACAUUGGGACUGAGACACGGCCCAGACUCCUACGGGAGGCAGCAGUGGGGAAUAUUGCACAAUGGGGGAAACCCUGAUGCAGCGACGCCGCGUGAGUGAAGAAGUAUUUCGGUAUGUAAAGCUCUAUCAGCAGGGAAGAAAAUGACGGUACCUGAGGAAGAAGCCCCGGCUAACUACGUG
This 478-nucleotide ribosomal RNA is filed under the name uncultured bacterium. RNAcentral's name for it is "partial 16S ribosomal RNA". It matches the Rfam family "Bacterial small subunit ribosomal RNA", at positions 28 to 507 of the family's 1533-position model. The record is from RNAcentral.